This 329-nucleotide unclassified non-coding RNA is filed under the name soil metagenome. Its description in RNAcentral is "partial contains 5.8S ribosomal RNA, internal transcribed spacer 2, and large subunit ribosomal RNA". The stretch from base 1 to 120 matches the Rfam family "5.8S ribosomal RNA", at positions 35 to 154 of the family's 154-position model. The record is from RNAcentral.
GAUGAAGAACGCAGUGAAAUGCGAUAAGUAAUGUGAAUUGCAGAAUUCAGUGAAUCAUCGAAUCUUUGAACGCACAUUGCGCCCCCUGGUAUUCCGGGGGGCAUGCCUGUCCGAGCGUCAUUACAACCCUCAAGCUCAGCUUGGUAUUGGGCCCCGCCGCUCCGGCGGGCCCUAAAGUCAGUGGCGGUGCCAUCCGGCUCCGAGCGUAGUAAUUCUUCUCGCUCUGGAGGUCCGGUCGUGUGCUCGCCAGCAACCCCCAAUUUUUUUCAGGUUGACCUCGGAUCAGGUAGGGAUACCCGCUGAACUUAAGCAUAUCAAUAAGCGGAGGA